Molecule: ribosomal RNA, 442 nt
Filed under: Cytobacillus oceanisediminis
Lineage: Bacteria; Bacillati; Bacillota; Bacilli; Caryophanales; Bacillaceae
Description: bacterial SSU rRNA
Rfam family: Bacterial small subunit ribosomal RNA
Source: RNAcentral
CAGAUGGGAGCUUGCUCCCUGAAGUCAGCGGCGGACGGGUGAGUAACACGUGGGCAACCUGCCUGUAAGACUGGGAUAACUCCGGGAAACCGGGGCUAAUACCGGAUAAUUCUUUCCCUCACAUGAGGGAAAGCUGAAAGAUGGUUUCGGCUAUCACUUACAGAUGGGCCCGCGGCGCAUUAGCUAGUUGGUGAGGUAACGGCUCACCAAGGCAACGAUGCGUAGCCGACCUGAGAGGGUGAUCGGCCACACUGGGACUGAGACACGGCCCAGACUCCUACGGGAGGCAGCAGUAGGGAAUCUUCCGCAAUGGACGAAAGUCUGACGGAGCAACGCCGCGUGAGUGAUGAAGGUUUUCGGAUCGUAAAACUCUGUUGUUAGGGAAGAACAAGUACCGGAGUAACUGCCGGUACCUUGACGGUACCUAACCAGAAAGCCACGG